UAGACAGGUAUUUGUAUUCGACUAUAUUCACGGCGUGAAACAGGGGAUUACACUGUUUUUAAACGGAAAGUGAAUCAAUUAACAUAAUAGACUCCU
RNAcentral lists this microRNA precursor (96 nucleotides) under Nicotiana sylvestris (wood tobacco). RNAcentral's name for it is "MIR6152 microRNA precursor family". It matches the Rfam family "MIR6152 microRNA precursor family". Lineage: Eukaryota; Viridiplantae; Streptophyta; Magnoliopsida; Solanales; Solanaceae. The record is from Rfam by way of RNAcentral. RNAcentral also lists the same sequence under 1 other name.